Molecule: ribosomal RNA, 109 nt
Filed under: Microcebus murinus (gray mouse lemur)
Lineage: Eukaryota; Metazoa; Chordata; Mammalia; Primates; Cheirogaleidae
Source: RNAcentral
GUCUAUGGCCACACCACCCUUAAUGCACCUUAUUGUAGAAGCUGAGUAGAGUCAGGACUAGUUAGUACUUGGAUGGGAGAUGGACUAGAAAUACCCAAUGCUGUAGGCU